CGCCAUAAACGGGGGUGCUCACAGCGGGGCUGAGAUGCGCAUUGCAGCGCGAACCCUUCACAGCUGAUCCGGGUAAUGCCGGCGGAGCGAGGAUCGCAUGUUCAUUG
Molecule: non-coding RNA, 107 nt
Filed under: Paracoccus seriniphilus
Lineage: Bacteria; Pseudomonadati; Pseudomonadota; Alphaproteobacteria; Rhodobacterales; Paracoccaceae
Description: TPP sequence
Rfam family: TPP riboswitch aptamer (THI element)
About the family: Vitamin B(1) in its active form thiamin pyrophosphate (TPP) is an essential coenzyme that is synthesised by coupling of pyrimidine and thiazole moieties in bacteria. The previously detected thiamin-regulatory element, thi box was extended, resulting in a new, highly conserved RNA secondary structure, the THI element, which is widely distributed in eubacteria and also occurs in some archaea.
Source: Rfam by way of RNAcentral